GAUGAACGCUGGCGGCGUGCUUAACACAUGCAAGUCGAACGGAAAGGCCCAAGCUUGCUUGGGUACUCGAGUGGCGAACGGGUGAGUAACACGUGGGUGAUCUGCCCUGCAUUUCGGGAUAAGCCUGGGAAACUGGGUCUAAUACCGGAUAGGACCACAUUUUGGAUGGUGUGGUGGAAAGUUUUUCGGUGUGGGAUGAGCUCGCGGCCUAUCAGCUUGUUGGUGGGGUAAUGGCCUACCAAGGCGUCGACGGGUAGCCGGCCUGAGAGGGUGUACGGCCACAUUGGGACUGAGAUACGGCCCAGACUCCUACGGGAGGCAGCAGUGGGGAAUAUUGCACAAUGGGCGCAAGCCUGAUGCAGCGACGCCGCGUGGGGGAUGACGGCCUUCGGGUUGUAAACUCCUUUCGCUAGGGACGAAGCGUUAUGUGACGGUACCUGGAGAAGAAGCACCGGCUAACUACGUG
Molecule: ribosomal RNA, 466 nt
Filed under: uncultured bacterium
Lineage: Bacteria
Description: partial 16S ribosomal RNA
Rfam family: Bacterial small subunit ribosomal RNA
Source: RNAcentral